Molecule: ribosomal RNA, 386 nt
Filed under: uncultured bacterium
Lineage: Bacteria
Description: bacterial SSU rRNA
Rfam family: Bacterial small subunit ribosomal RNA
Source: RNAcentral
GACGAACGCUGGCGGCGUGCUUAACACAUGCAAGUCGAGCGGUAAGGCCCUUUCGGGGUACACGAGCGGCGAACGGGUGAGUAACACGUGGGUGACCUGCCCUCAGCUCUGGGAUAAGCCUGGGAAACCGGGCUAAUACUGGAUAUGACUCCAUGACGCAUGUUGUGGGGUGGAAAGCCUUGUGCGGCUGAGGAUGGGCCCGCGGCCUAUCAGCUUGUUGGUGGGGUGANGGCCUACCAAGGCGACGACGGGUAGCCGGCCUGAGAGGGCGACCGGCCACACUGGGACUGAGACACGGCCCAGACUCCUACGGGAGGCAGCAGUGGGGAAUCUUGCGCAAUGGGCGAAAGCCUGACGCAGCGACGCCGCGUGAGGGAUGACGGCCU